AACGAACGCUGGCGGCAUGCCUAACACAUGCAAGUCGAACGAGACCUUCGGGUCUAGUGGCGCACGGGUGCGUAACGCGUGGGAACCUGCCCUUAGGUUCGGAAUAACUCCCCGAAAGGGGUGCUAAUACCGGAUAAUGUCUUCGGACCAAAGAUUUAUCGCCUUUGGAUGGGCCCGCGUUGGAUUAGCUAGUUGGUAGGGUAAAAGCCUACCAAGGCGACGAUCCCUAGCUGGUCUGAGAGGAUGAUCAGCCACACUGGGACUGAGACACGGCCCAGACUCCUACGGGAGGCAGCAGUGGGGAAUAUUGGACAAUGGGCGAAAGCCUGAUCCAGCCAUGCCGCGUGAGUGAUGAAGGCCUUAGGGUUGUAAAGCUCUUUUGCCCGGGAUGAUAAUGACAGUACCGGAAGAAUAAGCUCCGGCUAACUCCGUG
This 433-nucleotide ribosomal RNA is filed under the name uncultured bacterium. RNAcentral's name for it is "partial 16S ribosomal RNA". It matches the Rfam family "Bacterial small subunit ribosomal RNA", at positions 29 to 507 of the family's 1533-position model. The record is from RNAcentral.